This 487-nucleotide ribosomal RNA is filed under the name Bacillus sp. (in: firmicutes). RNAcentral's name for it is "Bacillus sp. (in: Bacteria) partial 16S ribosomal RNA". Lineage: Bacteria; Bacillati; Bacillota; Bacilli; Caryophanales; Bacillaceae. The record is from RNAcentral.
AAAASGSWMKKSRMGCGAGUSRUAAGAAGCUUGCUUCUAUGACGUUARCGGKGACGGGUGAGUAACACGUGGGCAACCUGCCUGUAAGACUGGGAURACUUCGGGAAACCGAAGCUAAUACCGGAUAGGAUCUUCUCCUUCAUGGGAGAUGAUUGAAAGAUGGUUUCGGCUAUCACUUACAGAUGGGCCCGCGGUGCAUUAGCUAGUUGGUGAGGUAACGGCUCACCAAGGCAACGAUGCAUAGCCGACCUGAGAGGGUGAUCGGCCACACUGGGACUGAGACACGGCCCAGACUCCUACGGGAGGCAGCAGUAGGGAAUCUUCCGCAAUGGACGAAAGUCUGACGGAGCAACGCCGCGUGAGUGAUGAAGGCUUUCGGGUCGUAAAACUCUGUUGUUAGGGAAGAACAAGUACRAGAGUAACUGCUYGUACCUUGACGGUACCUAACCAGAAAGCCACGGCUAACUMYGUGCCAGCAGCCGCAAAA